GGGCAAGGCCGGCAGCUUACACAUGCAGUCGAGCGGUAGCACAGGGGAGCUUGCUCCCUGGGUGACGAGCGGCGGACGGGUGAGUAAUGUCUGGGAAACUGCCUGAUGGAGGGGGAUAACUACUGGAAACGGUAGCUAAUACCGCAUAACGUCGCAAGACCAAAGAGGGGGACCUUCGGGCCUCUUGCCAUCAGAUGUGCCCAGAUGGGAUUAGCUAGUAGGUGGGGUAAUGGCUCACCUAGGCGACGAUCCCUAGCUGGUCUGAGAGGAUGACCAGCCACACUGGAACUGAGACACGGUCCAGACUCCUACGGGAGGCAGCAGUGGGGAAUAUUGCACAAUGGGCGCAAGCCUGAUGCAGCCAUGCCGCGUGUGUGAAGAAGGCCUUCGGGUUGUAAAGCACUUUCAGCGAGGAGGAAGGUGGUGAACUUAAUACGUUCAUCAAUUGACGUUACUCGCAGAAGAAGCACCGGCUAACUCCGUGCCAGCAGCCGCAA
RNAcentral lists this ribosomal RNA (497 nucleotides) under Serratia marcescens. Its description in RNAcentral is "bacterial SSU rRNA". It matches the Rfam family "Bacterial small subunit ribosomal RNA", at positions 38 to 520 of the family's 1533-position model. Lineage: Bacteria; Pseudomonadati; Pseudomonadota; Gammaproteobacteria; Enterobacterales; Yersiniaceae. The record is from RNAcentral.